RNAcentral lists this ribosomal RNA (425 nucleotides) under uncultured bacterium. Its description in RNAcentral is "partial 16S ribosomal RNA". It matches the Rfam family "Bacterial small subunit ribosomal RNA", at positions 354 to 796 of the family's 1533-position model. The record is from RNAcentral.
GUGGGGAAUAUUGGGCAAUGGGCGAAAGCCUGACCCAGCAACGCCGCGUGAAGGAAGAAGGUUUUCGGAUCGUAAACUUCUAUCCUUGGUGAAGAUAAUGACGGUAGCCAAGAAGGAAGCCCCGGCUAACUACGUGCCAGCAGCCGCGGUAAUACGUAGGGGGCAAGCGUUGUCCGGAAUGAUUGGGCGUAAAGGGCGCGUAGGCGGCCCGGUAAGUCUGAAGUGAAAGUCCUGCUUUUAAGGUGGGAAUUGCUUUGGAUACUGUCGGGCGUGAGUGCAGGAGAGGUAAGCGGAAUUCCCGGUGUAGCGGUGAAAUGCGUAGAGAUCGGGAGGAACACCAGUGGCGAAGGCGGCUUACUGGACUGUAACUGACGCUGAGGCGCGAAAGUGUGGGGAGCAAACAGGAUUAGAAACCCCUGUAGUCC